This 465-nucleotide ribosomal RNA is filed under the name uncultured bacterium. RNAcentral describes it as "bacterial SSU rRNA". It matches the Rfam family "Bacterial small subunit ribosomal RNA", at positions 338 to 795 of the family's 1533-position model. The record is from RNAcentral.
CCUACGGGUUGCAGCAGUAGGGAAUCUUCCGCAAUGGACGCAAGUCUGACGGAGCAACGCCGCGUGUGUGAAGAAGGUCUUCGGAUCGUAAAGCACUGUUGUUAGAGAAGAACAAGGACGUUAGUAACUGAACGUCCCCUGACGGUAUCUAACCAGAAAGCCACGGCUAACUACGUGCCAGCAGCCGCGGUAAUACGUAGGUGGCAAGCGUUGUCCGGAUUUAUUGGGCGUAAAGCGAGCGCAGGCGGUUUCUUAAGUCUGAUGUGAAAGCCCCCGGCUCAACCGGGGAGGGUCAUUGGAAACUGGGAGACUUGAGUGCAGAAGAGGAGAGUGGAAUUCCAUGUGUAGCGGUGAAAUGCGUAGAUAUAUGGAGGAACACCAGUGGCGAAGGCGGCUCUCUGGUCUGUAACUGACGCUGAGGCUCGAAAGCGUGGGGAGCAAACAGGAUUAGAUACCCCUGUAGUC